UACGUAGGGAGCAAGCGUUGUCCGGAAUCAUUGGGCGUAAAGCGCGCGUAGGUGGCCUAGUAAGUCCGCUGUGAAAGUCAAAGGCUCAACCUUUGGAAGCCGGUGGAUACUGUGGGGCUAGAGUACGGAAGAGGCGAGUGGAAUUCCUGGUGUAGCGGUGGAAUGCGCAGAUAUCAGGAGGAACACCAAUAGCGAAGGCAGCUCGCUGGGACGUUACUGACACUGAGGCGCGAAAGCGUGGGGAGCGAACAGG
Molecule: ribosomal RNA, 253 nt
Filed under: uncultured bacterium
Lineage: Bacteria
Description: partial 16S ribosomal RNA
Rfam family: Bacterial small subunit ribosomal RNA
Source: RNAcentral